GUGGGGAAUCUUAGACAAUGGGCGCAAGCCUGAUCUAGCCAUGCCGCGUGAGCGAUGAAGGCCUUAGGGUUGUAAAGCUCUUUCAGCUGGGAAGAUAAUGACGGUACCAGCAGAAGAAGCCCUGGCUAACUCCGUGCCAGCAGCCGCGGUAAUACGGAGGGGGCUAGCGUUGUUCGGAAUUACUGGGCGUAAAGCGCACGUAGGCGGAUCAGAAAGUCAGAGGUGAAAUCCCAGGGCUCAACCUUGGAACUGCCUUUGAAACUCCUGAUCUUGAGGUCGAGAGAGGUGAGUGGAAUUCCGAGUGUAGAGGUGAAAUUCGUAGAUAUUCGGAGGAACACCAGUGGCGAAGGCGGCUCACUGGCUCGAUACUGACGCUGAGGUGCGAAAGCGUGGGGAGCAAACAGGAUUAGAAACCCUUGUAGUCC
RNAcentral lists this ribosomal RNA (425 nucleotides) under uncultured bacterium. RNAcentral describes it as "partial 16S ribosomal RNA". It matches the Rfam family "Bacterial small subunit ribosomal RNA", at positions 354 to 796 of the family's 1533-position model. The record is from RNAcentral.